AUUUUAUUGGAAAAAUUUAUCGAAAAUUAUGUUUAUAUUCGAUUCAAUAAUUCGGUAUACAUUGAAAACUUCGUUUCACUUUGUGCAAGAUGAUAAAUUUUUGUGUAUUCGACGUGAAUUCAAUUGAUAUAAAUAUAUAUGCAUAUGUUUUUGUGCAAGAAACUUCGAAUUUAUUUUAGGUUAAAUUAAGUAACGUGCAUGGAAUCGUUUCGAAACUAUCAAUUGUUCACAGAAAUGGGAACUGUUAGGAGAAACUUUCAAGAUUGUUCGGUCCCCGAGCGGCUCGAACGAAAAGACUAACUACGCAAUUAGAGAAUUAUUAUACGUAGCGGCUGCGAACUGUGUACGAUUUACUCAUAGCCUGGAUGAAGCAUGGAUGACAUUUAUCACACGAAGUUUUCUAUUUGCGGGUAGAGAAGGAUGGAGGAACGCACAAAAUGUACAAAUUUAUGUAUUGCUGGUAUUUAUCGGAUAUAUUGAAGAAAAAGUUUUUCUAAAGAAUUUUAUUUUAACUUUUAUAUAAGUGACGAAUUUUUUUUUUUUAUAAGAAAUGCAUUAAUCAUAGUAAUAAAAUUAAUAAUAAUAAUAAUAAUAGCAACAGAUUGUUAAUAAUAAUGACAGUUAAUUAGCAUUAUGUUUUAGUUACUGAAGAUUGAAACAGGGACACAACAUUAUAAGUACUUAUUACUAUACAUACUGGAAAGUUCAGGGAAUUUCAACUGCAGUAACACAUAAGUACACAUACCUGUAACAUUCUCAUAUACCGCUACUGCUAAUUCCAGUUUAAAUUUUCAGAGUGACUUUGAGAAAUCUCACACUUGAUUCCGUACAACUUAAAUUAGAAACAGAAUAUAACUUUUAAAAUAAAUAAUUAUUAUACCAUAUUCCUCUUUAAAUAAUAAGAAAGCGAUGAAGAUUUAAAAGGUUAUGUACAUAAGAAAAGAUUAUGUACAUAAGGAAGCUACGUGUUACUAAGUUCUAAGUAAUAAAGGUUAGAUAUUUGUAGGAAAAGGACAGCUAAGAGAAUUGUGUUACGGUGUGCGAAGUCCCUCUAGUGGCAAGUAUAGUAGGUCAGCCGCAAGUUAUUUCAUUAUGUUUAAGGGGAAGCUACUUAUAAGUAGAUUAAGUAUUAUGUUAGGUAUAUGUGCAUUUAUGAGAAAUUUAUAUAUGUAUAAAAUGUGCGUAUAAUAAUGCAAAAAUAUACCGAAAGUAAAGUGCUGUGAUAUAAUAUUUCAAGGAUGAAACAAAUCUCUACCCAAGUUCCAUUUCU
Apis mellifera (honey bee) is the source of this 1270-nucleotide long non-coding RNA. RefSeq lists it as uncharacterized. NCBI's taxonomy places the organism in Eukaryota, Metazoa, Arthropoda, Insecta, Hymenoptera, Apidae. The transcript has 3 exons. The record is from RefSeq and is a predicted model, not a curated record.